This 109-nucleotide ribosomal RNA is filed under the name Salmo trutta (river trout). Lineage: Eukaryota; Metazoa; Chordata; Actinopteri; Salmoniformes; Salmonidae. The record is from RNAcentral.
GUUUACGGCCAUACCAGCCUGAUCUCGUCUGAUCUCGGAAGCUAAGCAGGGUCGGGCCUGGUUAGUACUUUGAUGGGAGACCGCCUGGGAAUACCAGGUGCUGUAAGCU